Molecule: long non-coding RNA, 81 nt
Organism: Neltuma alba
Lineage: Eukaryota; Viridiplantae; Streptophyta; Magnoliopsida; Fabales; Fabaceae
Exons: 3
Source: RefSeq, a predicted model, not a curated record
CGGAGUAAUGAGCAGGAAUGGGGUACGGAUGUUCAGAAUUCCUAUCAUCAAAACUAGGAUGUUAUUAUUGGGUUUAAUUGA